CAGUAGCCGCGGUAAUACAGAGGGUGCAAGCGUUAAUCGGAAUUACUGGGCGUAAAGCGCGCGUAGGUGGUUUGUUAAGUUGGAUGUGAAAUCCCCGGGCUCAACCUGGGAACUGCAUCUAAAACUGGCAAGCUAGAGUAUGGUAGAGGGUGGUGGAAUUUCCUGUGUAGCGGUGAAAUGCGUAGAUAUAGGAAGGAACACCAGUGGCGAAGGCGACCACCUGGACUGAUACUGACACUGAGGUGCGAAAGCGUGGGGAGCAAACAGGAUUAGAUACCCCAGUAGUCCCUGUCUCUUAUAC
RNAcentral lists this ribosomal RNA (301 nucleotides) under uncultured bacterium. RNAcentral describes it as "partial 16S ribosomal RNA". It matches the Rfam family "Bacterial small subunit ribosomal RNA", at positions 509 to 807 of the family's 1533-position model. The record is from RNAcentral.